UUGUAAAAGUUGAAAGUCUAUUUAAGAACUGAAAAUUGGAAUCCUAUAGGAAAAAAAAUGUAAGAUAUGAAAGCAGAAAAAAAAAUUAUAUUACAGUCUUCAUUGUCGUCCACUGUAGUCGAUGAUCAACAGAGUCCUUGACAUGGUUGCAACAGUCUUUGAAGGUGGCGGGGAAGUGAGUUGCUGCUAGAGAUCUGCAAGGCACAUAUCAAAUUAAUACACUUAUUUUAGCUUAUGUUGUAGCUACACAAACCAAACAUUAAUUCCCCCAAAGUUCCCACAUACAAGCAUCUAUGUAGAGAAAUUGUAACACAACUUAAGUUCCAAAGUGACGUAAAAAAAAACUGCACUUGAGCUAUGCAAAACUAACCUAGAGCCAAUUCAUAAAACUUUAAUCCAAAAUCACAGAAACCUAUAACAUCACAUGAAUUGAGCAUGAUAAACUGAGUUCAGGAGUCAUUACUCAUUACCCCAUGUCUAUUACCCAAUAAUCAACAAGUUAAACGUGUAUUUGGUCUAUUCAUGCAGGUUUGACCCAAUGGUAAAAACACUUUCUUUAAUGAAAGACAUAUGAGUGCACCAAUGCGCCUUAAGUGUGCCUACGGUCGCGAAUGAAGAAGGAUCGAGACGGAAAAUAUAUGGUGAGACAUCGACGUGGAGGUUGCUGCCAAACUGUCCUACCUUGGAGCAUUAG
This 694-nucleotide long non-coding RNA is filed under the name Helianthus annuus (common sunflower). Its description in RNAcentral is "sRNA HanXRQr2_Chr13g0593641". Lineage: Eukaryota; Viridiplantae; Streptophyta; Magnoliopsida; Asterales; Asteraceae. The record is from RNAcentral.